AUUGAACGCUGGCGGCAUGCUUUACACAUGCAAGUCGAACGGUAACAGGUCUUCGGAUGCUGACGAGUGGCGAACGGGUGAGUAAUGUAUCGGAACGUGCCCAGUAGUGGGGGAUAACUACUCGAAAGAGUGGCUAAUACCGCAUGAGAACUGAGGUUGAAAGCGGGGGACCUUCGGGCCUCGCGCUACUGGAGCGGCCGAUAUCAGAUUAGGUAGUUGGUGGGGUAAAGGCCUACCAAGCCGACGAUCUGUAGCUGGUCUGAGAGGACGACCAGCCACACUGGGACUGAGACACGGCCCAGACUCCUACGGGAGGCAGCAGUGGGGAAUUUUGGACAAUGGACGCAAGUCUGAUCCAGCAAUGCCGCGUGCAGGACGAAGGCCUCGGUUGUAACUAGCUUUGUUACAG
Molecule: ribosomal RNA, 409 nt
Filed under: uncultured bacterium
Lineage: Bacteria
Description: bacterial SSU rRNA
Rfam family: Bacterial small subunit ribosomal RNA
Source: RNAcentral